AUGAACUCUUUCAUUUCCUUCAUUGCUUCCCUUCUCCCACAGGGUAAAAAAAAGAAAAGAAAAAAGCACUUUCAUAGCACUCUCAUCAACAGAGCACUUGUAGAACAAGGUCACCUGUGGAUUGUCCUCUACGGAGUUUGUCCUUGUCCAGGCGCCUGCUCUGGCCCGGGCUUUGCUGCUGGCGGCGACCUGCAGGUGAGGGUCGCGGGCUCGGUCAGGGCUGCGAGAAGCUGCGGCUGCGGGGAGGGCCGGCCCGCCGCUUCUGUGCGCUUCGUUUAUAUUUGGGCAGCAGAGGGUAAAAUUAGUGGAAUGUAGUGUUUAUUAUAAUUUGAAUCCAGUGCAAUUCAGUGUGAGAACUCUGCCAGCCCGGACUCGAGCGGGGCCGCGCGCUGCCCACCCGGCCGCCCGCGGGCCUGAGCGGCACGGCCGAUGCCGGGAUGGCAGGACGCACAGAAACGCGGGGUUCUGAUUUUUGAAGACUAGGAGUAGCUAAGCUUUAGUUUGGCUGAAUUGUUCUCAGACUCUGGAUACGAUGAGAGAUCAAAGCGACUCCGGUGCGCGCCAGCCCGGCGCGGCCCCUGCGGCCCGAGAACUGCACUUGGCCCCUUCUGGCAUCGAUGUUCUUUUAGUUAGUGUUUUCUCACUUCCGAGAAAACAGCAUCUUAACCCUGAAGCUGGGUUGUGUGGUAGCUGGUUGAAUGGUAGAAUGAGGAACAUUUCACUCACACUGGAAGUAUAAGGAAUCGAAAUUGUUACUCAGAGUUAUAUUCCCCUCUUCUUUCAGAACAGAUUGUUGGGAAGAAAAACUUCCAAGUAUGAAACAAAUAUUUGAGGCUUAUCUCAAACAACUUUCAUGUGUUCGAAAACUAAAUUUCUACAAAGUCUGCGAGGCAGUGAGACCUAUUAGAACUCCGUCCCAGAGACACACGGAGAAGGCUGGCCUGCAGCCCUGCCUCCCUCACUGGUCCCAGCCUCUGGGGGGCCGCUAUUAUUAGUGUCUUAUUUAUCCUUCCAGUGCCUUUUCAUGCAAACUCUAAAACAAUUAUUUAUUUGAUCCUUCUGGAAUUUGUAUAGGGUAUUGCAUUUUGAGAGGAUUGUUUUUUCCAUUAAACUUUCUAAUUGUUUAUGGUUGAUAUCAAAACAAACUGUUGAUUUCUGAAUAUUUGUUUUGAAUAUAUUCAUCUUGUAGAUUUCUAAUAAUUUUUCAGUUAGUUGUCCUGGGUUUUCAGAUAGAUAAUCAAGCUUACAAUUUACCCUGAUAAUUUUGUUCUCUGCUUCCAAAUAGUAUAUUGUUAUUCUAGUUCUUAUUUUAUUACAUCUAAAUAAAUCACCAUUUUUCUUUGUGAUGGAUUUAUAAAAAACAAAACUCUGUCCCAGUCAUCUCUGGACAAAUGCGUGUGUGGGUUUAGGGCCCUGGAGUAUGUGUGGCAUGCAUCCACACGUUCCAUGCUCACCUGAGAUCGUCAGCAGCUCUGCCCUACACUGUGUUGGGUCGGGAUUGCCAACCUAGAACCGUCAACUCGGUUUAAAAGGACUGCAUUUUGCAUGACAUUCAAAAGGGAAGGAGGGAAGAAAAUCUUUCAUUUAGGAAAUACAGAAGUUGUUUGUCCAGAUAUGCCCAGUUUCCUUCUAUUUCUCCCGAAUGCAGUGACAAUCUGCGUGGCCUUCUAGUGGUCAUGCCGGUCACCAGCACAAGGCACCUGGUCUUUUUCUCCAAGUUGCUGAAUCUGCUUGAAACUUUAAUAGCACUGUUUUUAUUAGCUCAACUGCUGAAAGUUUUUCUCUUAGAGAAUGGUUAUAUUUUAUUGAGAAUAAUUGUGCUGCCAGGUGAUGGAAAAUAAGCAUUAAACACUGAUACUAACAUCCUCUGGACUCGUCUCAUUUUCCUGGUUCAUGAUGCGUUGCAGCCAGACCGAUGGAAUCAAGCCGUGACAGCGGGUCACCUGCCAGGCUGGUCCGUCUGCUCUGUUCAUUGUCGCUGGUGAAAGACGCCGAGGCGGUUGCGUGUGUGUGAACUGUGAUCUUCUCAAGCUUAAGAUAGGAGUUAGAAACGCCUCUUUUGCAGACAGUAAACUCAGUACGUAUACAUUCAAAGCAAGUAUCUACCCGCCCAUAACCUAGUCAGAUGCUCCAAAGAUAAUCAUCAAGUUCUUUCUGGUUUGACUUUUCUUAUUUAUAGGAAUUAAUCUUAGGGUCCUAGAAAACAACAGUGAAAACCCUUCUAAUUGUCACUCCUCUUCUGCAGCAUCUGAAGGAAUGUCAGAGGCGCCCUGCGUGCAUCACUGGCCGAUGGCUUCGCUUGGUGUCGCUGAACACCUGCUCCGUGGUGACUGAAAUCGAAAACCACUUCACCAUACACGCACGCGGGCCUUUCAAAGAACAAAGUGACACUGGCAGGGUGGCUUACCGACUUGGGAAGCUGAGAUGGGAGCAUCCCUUGAGCUCAGGAGUUUGAGACCAGCCUGGGCAAUAGAGAGACACUGUCUUUACAAAAAAUAAAAAAUUAGCUGGGCGCCAUGGCACAUGCCUGCAGUCCCAGCUACUUGGGAGGCAGGGGGCUGAGACAGGAGGAUCACUUAAGUCCAGGAGUUUGAGGUUACAGUGAGCUAUGACAUGCUGCUGCACUCUAGCCUGGACGACUGAUUGAGACCCUGUCUCACCCCCCCCCAAAACAGAAAACAAAAUAACUAGAAGCGUGGUAGCAGUGUAGUUCUAUUUACACACUUAAGAAACAAUUAUUUUUGGAUCUGGAGGCAGUGGCAAAAAUGUUAAAGCUGGUUUUGGUCUUAAGGUUAAUGGAUCAUCUAAAACUUCUCUCCUCAAUUGAAAAAGAACUUCCUUUGGUAUCAGCUUCUCCAUCCAUGACCUGUAGACACUUGAGGGCCGCUUCCACCACGCCUGUGAGCGGCGUCAAGAGCAAAGCCACCGUGGACAGAAGCAGAUCUCGGGACCAGACGGCAAGAGGUGCCAUGGCGAGGCGCAGGACGGGCCCUGCGGGGGAGCUGGCUUCCUUGGCAGACCGGCUCUCGCCUCGCCGCUCGUGCUACGGAGUGCUGCGUGCGGGUGAACUUCAUCCCUAACUUCAUCCUGGUGAACUUGGGAAGGCAGGAAGAGGACGUCUGCUGCUCCUCACCGGGAGGGAGCUGUUCCCUCCUUUCUUCUUUUUCACCUGGAUCAUGUAUAUUUGUUCUCUGACUUUCAACACAAUGAGCUUUUCAUGGGUUUUGCAACCACAGGGCAGCCUAGGACAUUGUGAAGGGCUCCAGGGAGGUCUGAUCUGUACUGAUGUGACUGAUGAGGAAACUGCAGCUCAGAGGGACAAACGACUUGCCCACCGUAGUGGCUCCUUGACAGUGGAGCGGGUGCUGAAACCCAGAUCUCCUGACUCGACUGCUGCAGCUGCGACUGGCUCAGCUCCCUGAUUCCAGCUUCCCUUGCAUGACACAGUUUCUUCUCAGAUUCUGGGUUGCAGCUGAGUCUGGGCAGUUCUUAAGAUGGAGCUGCAUAAACAAUCAAGCUGUGAUAAUGAGAGCGAGGAGGGCACAUGGAGGGUCCCUUCCCUCUGGAACAGAAACGAGCUAACUUUUCUCUGAGCUUACGCUUUGUAAGGCACUGAUAUCCGUUUAAACGAGAUAAACGGAUUUUAAGCGCUUUGCACAGUAUCUGGUUUAUAGCAAGUAGCCAGUAAGGGUAACCACAUAGCAAAAUUUGAUAUUGCUGCAGCGACAAGCCUAUAAUAAAAUUUCUUACAUUUUUUAUAUGUUGGGUUUCAGUUGGUUCUUAUAAGAAUCCUGUGAGUUAGUUGGGGUAGGUCUUAUUAUUUUAUUAUACAAGAGGGAUAACUAAAUUUCAGAAAGCUCAGUGCCUGCCAAAAAGCACAAGAUAAGUGGCAAAGUCAAGACAAACCCCAAGUCUUCCGAGCUCCUGCAAUUCCUCCAUUCAAAAAUAAUUUUGGAUACAUGCGGCGUGUCCUGUGCGGGAAGUUAUGGCGGCUCCGGCCGCAUACAUUGUCAUUCCCUGUGAUCAGGCAGUUUAUAGUCGAGUGAGGGACAGAGAUAUUCAUCGAAUUAUCCUACUUAUAAAUGUAUAAUUCAAAACCGAUUUGAGCAUUCCGAAAGCAAGGAAUAUAGGUUUAUAAAGGUCAGUUUACAAAGGGACCUGGUGUAGAUCUGCGAGAAUGCCGCUGGAGCCGAGAUCAAAGGCGCGAGCGAGGCGCCGGCGCGAGGAGACGCCCGGGAGAGGCCGGGCUGCGGGACGCAGGGAGGGCGGCGGGCAGGACAGAAGGAAGCAGACAGAGCGGUGGGGGGCGUGGGCUGACGAUCUUGGCGGCAGCUGCUAGUACCACAUGACCCAGGUGGGCUGGGCCCAUCUGGGCCGCCUGGUGCCAGAGCCUUAGCCCGAGUUUACCAGGGAGUCUGAGUUGCCCAUCCAUUCCAGGCCGGUGGCCGGGCACGCGGGGCCCUUUCCUUUUUCCCUGCCUUGCUUGCUGCCAAGGGUCUUCCCAGCGGUUUGCUUGUGGUUCAUCCGAACCCUGGUUCAUCCGAACCCUGGUUCAUCCGAACCCUGGUUCAUCCGAACCGUGCACACACAGGCCUCCAGGGCGGGGAGGGUCUCGGCAGGUUCUCUGUCUCGGCGCUCAGGCCUGGGUCUCUGGCGCGUCACCCAAGGGCGGGCGAGCCCACAGCCCAGCCCGCCGCCUCCCCAGCUUUGCUCAGGGGCCUCUCUGGGCUCCUCCUGCCCUUAGAUUCAGCCUGUAGCUGCUGUCUAGUCAGGCUAUUGGUGCUUUUAAAGAGUUUCUUGGUAUUUUAUCUCAGUUUCGUUUAUUUUCAGUGAGCAGCGUGGGCUGAAAGUCUGGCGUGCCGUUGCAGACAUCCAAAGUCCACCAAACUGCUUUGCUCGCGCUUCUCCGGCAGCCUGUGGGACUCUUCUCAUGUAACGUGGGAGGGGGGAAGUGGACGGAAAUUAUGUGUAUUCUACCCCCAGGAGUUAAGUAAUGGAGGAACGGUAUUACUGUGAUAAAAUAUACAUAACAUAGAACUUGCCAUUUUAUUUUUCAGUGUACACCUCAGGGCACUAAGGACACUCACAAUGCUGUGCGACCGUCAUCACCGUCCAUUUCCAGAACUUUUCAUCAUGCCAAACAGAAACUUGGUGCCCAUCAAACAAUAACCCUCUUCCCAGCGCCGCGACCUCUAACCCGCGGCCGUCUGCGCACGCGCGCCUGCUGGGCGCCUC
Molecule: long non-coding RNA, 5235 nt
Filed under: Microcebus murinus (gray mouse lemur)
Lineage: Eukaryota; Metazoa; Chordata; Mammalia; Primates; Cheirogaleidae
Description: lncRNA (ENSMICG00000048704.1)
Source: RNAcentral